CAUAGCAUUCCACUGACAGUGGAGUGGUCAGUUAAGCCGCCUCAUGACUAUUUACUUGCUGGCUGCCAUGAUGGAAUGGUGGCUUUGUGGAAAUUUUGUACAAAUUCUUCAUCAAAAUGCGAGGAUUCAAAGCCCGUGCUUUGUUUUGGUGCGGAUACAGUUCCUAUUAGAACUGUUGCCUGGGCUCCAUUUGAAGGGUUAGU
Cajanus cajan (pigeon pea) is the source of this 203-nucleotide non-coding RNA. The record is from RefSeq and is a predicted model, not a curated record. Lineage: Eukaryota; Viridiplantae; Streptophyta; Magnoliopsida; Fabales; Fabaceae.